This 852-nucleotide ribosomal RNA is filed under the name Haemophilus influenzae. RNAcentral describes it as "bacterial SSU rRNA". It matches the Rfam family "Bacterial small subunit ribosomal RNA", at positions 56 to 900 of the family's 1533-position model. The record is from RNAcentral. Lineage: Bacteria; Pseudomonadati; Pseudomonadota; Gammaproteobacteria; Pasteurellales; Pasteurellaceae.
UGCAAGUCGAACGGUAGCAGGAGGAAGCUUGCUUUCUUGCUGACGAGUGGCGGACGGGUGAGUAAUGCUUGGGAAUCUGGCUUAUGGAGGGGGAUAACGACGGGAAACUGUCGCUAAUACCGCGUAGUGUCGAGAGACGAAAGGGUGGGACUUUUAGCCACCUGCCAUGAGAUGAGCCCAAGUGGGAUUAGGUAGUUGGUGGGGUAAAGGCCUACCAAGCCUGCGAUCUCUAGCUGGUCUGAGAGGAUGACCAGCCACACUGGAACUGAGACACGGUCCAGACUCCUACGGGAGGCAGCAGUGGGGAAUAUUGCGCAAUGGGGGGAACCCUGACGCAGCCAUGCCGCGUGAAUGAAGAAGGCCUUCGGGUUGUAAAGUUCUUUCGGUAUUGAGGAAGGUUGAUGUGUUAAUAGUACAUCAAAUUGACGUUAAAUACAGAAGAAGCACCGGCUAACUCCGUGCCAGCAGCCGCGGUAAUACGGAGGGUGCGAGCGUUAAUCGGAAUAACUGGGCGUAAAGGGCACGCAGGCGGUUAUUUAAGUGAGGUGUGAAAGCCCCGGGCUUAACCUGGGAAUUGCAUUUCAGACUGGGUAACUAGAGUACUUUAGGGAGGGGUAGAAUUCCACGUGUAGCGGUGAAAUGCGUAGAGAUGUGGAGGAAUACCGAAGGCGAAGGCAGCCCCUUGGGAAUGUACUGACGCUCAUGUGCGAAAGCGUGGGGAGCAAACAGGAUUAGAUACCCUGGUAGUCCACGCUGUAAACGCUGUCGAUUUGGGGGUUGGGGUUUAACUCUGGCGCCCGUAGCUAACGUGAUAAAUCGACCGCCUGGGGAGUACGGCCGCAAGGUUAAAAC